This 497-nucleotide ribosomal RNA is filed under the name uncultured bacterium. RNAcentral's name for it is "partial 16S ribosomal RNA". It matches the Rfam family "Bacterial small subunit ribosomal RNA", at positions 28 to 507 of the family's 1533-position model. The record is from RNAcentral.
GAUGAACGCUGGCGGCGUGCCUAAUACAUGCAAGUCGAGCGAACGGACGAGAAGCUUGCUUCUCUGAUGUUAGCGGCGGACGGGUGAGUAACACGUGGAUAACCUACCUAUAAGACUGGGAUAACUUCGGGAAACCGGAGCUAAUACCGGAUAAUAUUUUGAACCGCAUGGUUCAAAAGUGAAAGACGGUCUUGCUGUCACUUAUAGAUGGAUCCGCGCUGCAUUAGCUAGUUGGUAAGUUAACGGCUUACAAAGGCAACGAUGCAUAGCCGACCUGAGAGGGUGAUCGGCCACACUGGAACUGAGACACGGUCCAGACUCCUACGGGAGGCAGCAGUAGGGAAUCUUCCGCAAUGGGCGAAAGCCUGACGGAGCAACGCCGCGUGAGUGAUGAAGGUCUUCGGAUCGUAAAACUCUGUUAUUAGGGAAGAACAUAUGUGUAAGUAACUGUGCACAUCUUGACGGUACCUAAUCAGAAAGCCACGGCUAACUACGUG